ACGAACGCUGGCGGCGUGCUUAACACAUGCAAGUCGCACGGAAAGGCCCUGCUUUUGUGGGGUGCUCGAGUGGCGAACGGGUGAGUAACACGUGAGUAACCUGCCCUUGACUUUGGGAUAACUUCAGGAAACUGGGGCUCAUACCGGAUAGGAGCUCCUGCUGCAUGGUGGGGGUUGGAAAGUUUCGGCGGUUGGGGAUGGAUUCGCGGCUUAUCAGCUUGUUGGUGGGGUAGUGGCCUACCAAGGCUUUGACGGGUAGCCGGCCUGAGAGGGUGACCGGCCACAUUGGGACUGAGAUACGGCCGAGACUCCUACGGGAGGCAGCAGUGGGGAAUAUUGCACAAUGGGCGGAAGCCUGAUGCAGCAACGCCGCGUGCGGGAUGACGGCCUUCGGGUUGUAAACCGCUUUCGCCUGUGACGAAGCGUGAGUGACGGUAAUGGGUAAAGAAGCACCGGCUAACUACGUG
RNAcentral lists this ribosomal RNA (467 nucleotides) under uncultured bacterium. RNAcentral describes it as "partial 16S ribosomal RNA". It matches the Rfam family "Bacterial small subunit ribosomal RNA", at positions 29 to 507 of the family's 1533-position model. The record is from RNAcentral.